This is a long non-coding RNA of Clupea harengus (Atlantic herring), 1873 nucleotides long. Lineage: Eukaryota; Metazoa; Chordata; Actinopteri; Clupeiformes; Clupeidae. The record is from Ensembl.
GGCCAUUUCUUAAAAACACAGGCACCCCGUGUCCUAUUGAUAUGAAAUGCAGAGUAACAGCAGAGUCAAAACAUUCCGUGAUGUAACUCUUUUGCCAAACAUUGUCGGAAGAAGAUUCCGUCACGCACUUUUAUUGCAUGUUGUGGCAAACCGCUCCUCCAGACAACGCCAGGGUCCGGGGUGGGAAAUUGACAGCAGGAGAUGAUGACGUCUUCGCUUGCUGGAUCAAUGCUGAGACAAAAACCCUCUUCACUGGACAAAAACUUCAGCCAUCAAGGCUGAACCGGAAUGGUGACGACUGAAAAGGAACUUUAUUCAAGUGUAAACAGUUUGAUAGUCGUGUGGAUUUCAUAUGCCAAGACAAAAAGGGUUGUUCUGAAACACGUAUGGAUUUAUCAAACAAAGUUAAAUUACCGUGUGCAACUUAGCUAGCUAACAGUUAGUUGGCUAGCUGGCUAGCUCUUUGGACAGUACCACACAGCUUUUUACGGAACAGCUUGACUAAACUGUUAUCGAUCGGCGAACAAAGUGAGCGAUGGAGAGACACUGGCGUGUUUUCUGGUCUGUGAAAAGUGGUAGCUGACUUCUGCUUAUUUUUGGAAAUACAACCUACAGGUUGCGCGAUAUCUAAUAUUAACACUAUAUAGUUUGGAUAGUUCUCUAACGAUACUGAUGUGCCGAAGACAAAACCAAAUUGUUGGUGCCUGGAUGAAUGAGUUUCGCCACCCCACCCUUGGGCAUGUUCUGUCAUGCUACAGUCCCAGGAGUGAGUGUCUCCUGUUAUUUAAAAGGUGCUCUUAGGUUUUAUUUAUGUGAUCGUGGGGUGUCAUUUAGGGGUUUCUGUAAUCCCUACUGUCUGGCUGAUUCUGUCAAAAUACUCAGCGGAAGUUUAUGAUCUUGCAUGAGGAGGAACAAUUACACGGAGGUGGGAAGGCCAGUGUUACCUCGAGCCACCUGAGAAUGGGGAUCUGAGAAGAGCUUGUUUCAGAAUGGCAGCUGCAGGAAAAACAGAUGGGAAGCCAGUGUUUAGUAGAGGACAGCACAGGUUAGUGUGAAGAGAGAAGAGAACACAGUGUGAGACAAACCUGGUGUGCCGGUUAAUGAUUGGAUGUGGGCCUGUUAUUUCUUUUGUUUCAAAACGACCAUGUGAACUCAGUUAGGCCUAAGCUUUAUGAGAUUCCAGCAAUUAAGGGCUGGAAUGUGCCAUUUUUGCUCUUCAAAUACCCUUAACCAUCAUUAUGGUCAUUCUGCUGAUCUUGUCUUCCUGAGAAUCAGGAAACACGGCCCUGGCUUUCCUGCAUAACACACAGACACAGGCACACACACACACACACACACACACACACACACACACACCGACACCGACAGACGCAGACUCGCACACACUCACACACACACACACACACACACACACAGACGCACACGCACACACGCACACAGACGCAGACUCGCACACACUCACAGGCGCAGGCUCACACUCACACACACACACACACACACACACACAAACACAAACACAGACAGACGCAGACUCACACACACACACACACAGAGACGGAGACUCGCACACAGACUCGCACACUCACACACACACACACACACACACACAGACGCACUCACACUCACACUCACACACACACACACCGUCAUACACACAGAUGCAGACUCACACACACACAGAGAGAGACGGAGACUCGCGCACACACACACACAGACUUGCACACUCACACACACACACACACACAGACGCAGACUCAAACACAGGCGCUCACCUAUAUACAGACACACAGGUUUGCACAGUUACACUUAGACAGAGACACACACACAAAGCACUGGCAUAUUUUAACACAAAGUGACACACAGGUAACAGGCC